CCUACGGGCGGCAGCAGUGGGGAAUAUUGGACAAUGGGCGAAAGCCUGAUCCAGCCAUGCCGCGUGUGUGAAGAAGGCCUUCGGGUUGUAAAGCACUUUCAGUGGGGAAGAAAGCCUUGGGGCUAAUACCCUCGAGGAAGGACAUCACCCACAGAAGAAGCACCGGCUAACUCCGUGCCAGCAGCCGCGGUAAUACGGAGGGUGCGAGCGUUAAUCGGAAUUACUGGGCGUAAAGCGCGCGUAGGCGGUCUGAUAAGCCGGUUGUGAAAGCCCCGGGCUCAACCUGGGAACGGCAUCCGGAACGGUCAGGCUAGAGUGCAGGAGAGGAAGGUAGAAUUCCCGGUGUAGCGGUGAAAUGCGUAGAGAUCGGGAGGAAUACCAGUGGCGAAGGCGGCCUUCUGGACUGACACUGACGCUGAGGUGCGAAAGCGUGGGUAGCAAACAGGAUUAGAUACCCUAGUAUC
RNAcentral lists this ribosomal RNA (464 nucleotides) under Vreelandella stevensii. RNAcentral's name for it is "partial 16S ribosomal RNA". It matches the Rfam family "Bacterial small subunit ribosomal RNA", at positions 338 to 794 of the family's 1533-position model. The record is from RNAcentral. Lineage: Bacteria; Pseudomonadati; Pseudomonadota; Gammaproteobacteria; Oceanospirillales; Halomonadaceae.